This 322-nucleotide unclassified non-coding RNA is filed under the name soil metagenome. RNAcentral describes it as "partial contains 5.8S ribosomal RNA, internal transcribed spacer 2, and large subunit ribosomal RNA". The stretch from base 1 to 120 matches the Rfam family "5.8S ribosomal RNA", at positions 35 to 154 of the family's 154-position model. The record is from RNAcentral.
GAUGAAGAACGUAGCGAAAUGCGAUAAGUAAUGCGAAUUGCAGAUCUCCGUGAGUCAUUGAAUCUUUGAACGCACAUUGCGCCCUUUGGCAUUCCGAAGGGCACACCUGUCCGAGCGCCGUCGCACAACUGAGGCGCAGCCUUGCGUUGGCGGGCGACUUGUGAGUAGCGAGUCGCCGCCCAAACGAGACGGCGCCGCGCCGCGGCCGACGAAGCACGAAAGCGGAAGUCGACGCGGAGGCGGUUGCCUGUAGGAAGACACAGCUUGGCCUCGGAUCAGGUGGGGAUACCCGCUGAACUUAAGCAUAUCAAUAAGCGGAGGA